This 2393-nucleotide long non-coding RNA is filed under the name Helianthus annuus (common sunflower). RNAcentral describes it as "hypothetical non coding rna". The record is from RNAcentral. Lineage: Eukaryota; Viridiplantae; Streptophyta; Magnoliopsida; Asterales; Asteraceae.
UUAGUCAGUGUUUGGUCUGGGCGUGCGAACGAGGAGAAGGAACCAAGGGAACCAAAACCCUAAACAACCUAAAAUCAUCAAAUUGAAAGGGGAAUCGAGGGCUGAUCGAAUGCAUGAGUCUAGAUACCCUUUAAUCUAAGUGUAUUGAUCAUAAGGAACGUGUCAAGGAGAGCUCAAGCAUAGGAGGAUAACGGGUCAAGAUAAGGCAAGGUGACAAAUACACUUAUUGGAAUACUCAAGGUAAGUGAUUUCUAUAAUCACUUCUUUAGUUGUUUAAGUAAUAUAAUGUUUUAAUUAUUAAGUUCAUAUGAAGUUGAGGUUAAAUCAAUGGAUUAUUUUGAUAAAUGCACGAAUGGGUCGAAUAAUUCAUAGAUGAAUAACAAGCCGAAUACGUAUAAGUUAAGGAAUUCCUUAACUCGGAUGUUGGACUUCAAGAUCACGUGAUAGAAUAUUAAAUUACAAUCAUAUAGGAAGAAACGUGACGCAAAACGGACGAAAAAUGAGAGAGUUAUGUCCGUUUCAGUAAGGAUUAAUGGCUAGGAAAAGUGCAGAGUUGACACGGCCGGGUGGUGAACUGACACGGCCGGGUGAAGGUUCUGUCAAAAAUAAUAUUUAUGUGAUUUAUGCGCCGUAGGCUUCGGUAUAUUAUCCGUGAACUACGACGGGCCUCCCAAACAUGAUUUCGAGUGUUUCCUUGACGAUUAUAAGUUGUAAACCCAAGUCUAAGCCUCAUGUAAUUUAUAUAAGAGUGUGAUAGAUGUAUGUAAAGAAGUUGGACAUGUAUUACAUGUAAAUGUAUACAAAAAUACGUACGGAACACGUAGGUAUGAAUACAUGAUUGUAGGUAUGAUUAAAUGUAUAUUAGGUAUGUAGAUGUGUAUGAUUGUAAGUUUGUAUGUGUGCAAGUAUGUGCGAAUGCAUGAUUCGGAUGCAUUUAAAUGGUUAACGUCCUUUUUAUGAAGAUGUAGUAAAUGAAUAUGUUGAGAUUACGGGUUUGGCUAACCAAGUUAUUAUUGAGUAUGUUUGAAAGUGCAGGUGAUGAAUGUCGGACUUUCGAAGUGUUGAUAUAAUAAUGAAACGGUUGAAUGUUGAAAGGAUAAUCGGACUGAAGUAACUUAUGCGGUUAGAAUAUGCUAUGGACGUUUUAGUUUAUACAAUAUUAUAUGUUUGGUCGUCACCAUCUACUAACAGGUUCGUUGUAUGAGAGUAUAUGUCAUACCCAUUUAAUUGGGUAAUCGAAUACGUAAGAAAAAUGUACGCGCACGAAUGGAACUAAAAUGACGGUUUUAUAAGCAAACAAGUAUAAUGACUAACUUUUUAAAGCUUUGUUGUUGAAUGUAGGUAAAUCCUCAAUUUAGGCGACUUGGAGAAUCGGAGCGAGCGCGUGUUCGUGUUAUGCGAUACCAAACGCUUCCGCUAGUUUGUUCAAAUGUUUUUGACCCAAAAUUUGUUGUAUUGGUUUUUAGUAGUAUCUUGUUGAACGAAUUGUAGAAUUGUAUCUAGAUUGUUUAUGUUUAAAACAGGGGUAUGCUCGUUUUAUGGACGGGUCAUGCCCGAUUUUUGUUAAAUUAUAGUUUGAUAAUAUCACAUUUAGGAAGGUGAAAUUUUGGGCGUAACAAGUUGGUAUCAGAGCCUAGGUUUGAGGGAUUCGAGCAAGAGUAUCAGUGCUUGAACUCAAACCGAUGACUCGUGCAAAAGUGUGCUCGCUCCGAGAUCGCCAAUGAGGCCAAGAGCACGCGGGUUAUGUGAAGGGUAAGCGCAAUUGUUCGGAAGGAAUGAUCCGUGAAUGCGGUCUAGGACCGGCAUCAAAGCAAGUAAUAAGACGAAUUGACCCCUGGUGAGCUUGAUGAAUGGACACGCAAUGUUACUAAUCAGAAAGGAAGGAUCAUCGUAAGGAACGUGUCAAGGAGAGCUCAAGCAUAGGAGGAUAACGGGUCAAGAUAAGGCAAGGUGACAAAUACACUUAUUGGAAUACUCAAGGUGAUGAAUGUCGGACUUUCGAAGUGUUGAUAUAAUAAUGAAACGGUUGAAUGUUGAAAGGAUAAUCGGACUGAAGUAACUUAUGCGGUAAAUCCUCAAUUUAGGCGACUUGGAGAAUCAGAGCGAGCGCGUGUUCGUGUUAUGCGGUACCAAACGCUUCCGCUAGUUUGUUCAAAUGUUUUUGACCCAAAAUUUGUUGUAUUGGUUUUUAGUAGUAUCUUGUUGAACGAAUUGUAGAAUUGUAUCUAGAUUGUUUAUGUUUAAAACAGGGGUAUGCUCGUUUUAUGGACGGGUCAUGCCCGAUUUUUGUUAAAUUAUAGUUUGAUAAUAUCACAUUUAGGAAGGUGAAAUUUUGGGCGUAACAAUAAAUCCAUCUCCAUAUACAACUCUAAUUUUUAUUUACUUAACGGAUU